This 375-nucleotide long non-coding RNA is filed under the name Physcomitrium patens. Its description in RNAcentral is "long non-coding RNA (PPAT_LNC011308)". The record is from RNAcentral. Lineage: Eukaryota; Viridiplantae; Streptophyta; Bryopsida; Funariales; Funariaceae.
UGUAGCUAAUGCAUCAGACUGAUGAUCUCAUGGAAUGUGGGUGUUUUUUUCUGUUUGCCGUGGUGUUGAAGAUUUCAUCGUGGAUGUCGUUGAAUUUAUGGAUCUACUAUCUCAAUCACGGAUGAUGAUGUCUCAACUUCCUUUUUAGACAUCCUGAAGUCUUGUUCUCCUCCACUUGAGCUUGAAAUUUGACACGAUUCCUUGUCUGGAUGCAGAGCUAACAGAUGGACAGGUUCGGCAGGCCAUGGGAAAUUUUAACUCGUGAGAAUGGUUACCUCACACGAUGUAGCUGUUGUUUUACUCACACUUAUUAUUCAGACCUCCAUUAAAGUAACUCACAAUCACAUGCAAAUGCUUGCCAUCAAAAUCCCUCCU